This 702-nucleotide ribosomal RNA is filed under the name uncultured bacterium. RNAcentral's name for it is "partial 16S ribosomal RNA". It matches the Rfam family "Bacterial small subunit ribosomal RNA", at positions 621 to 1319 of the family's 1533-position model. The record is from RNAcentral.
UGNCAGGCGAUACGGGCAUAACUAGAGUGCUGUAGGGGAGACUGGAAUUCNUGGUGUAGCGGUGGAAUGCGCAGAUAUCAGGAGGAACACCGAUGGCGAAGGCAGGUCUCUGGGCAGUAACUGACGCUGAGGAGCGAAAGCAUGGGGAGCGAACAGGAUUAGAUACCCCGGUAGUCCAUGCUGUAAACGGUGGGCGUUAGGUGUGGGGACUGUUUUUGGUUUCUGUGCCGUAGCUAACGCAUUAAGCGCCCCGCCUGGGGAGUACGGCCGCAAGGCUAAAACUCAAAGGAAUUGACGGGGGCCCGCACAAGCGGCGGAGCAUGUGGAUUAAUUCGAUGCAACGCGAAGAACCUUACCUGGGUUUGACAUGCACCAGACGGUUGUAGAGAUACGUACCUCCCUUUGUGGUUGGUGUGCAGGUGGUGCAUGGUUGCCGUCAGCUCGUGUCGUGAGAUGUUGGGUUAAGUCCCGCANNNNNNNNNNNNNCCUUGUCUUAUGUUGCCAGCACGUUUGGGUGGGGACUCAUGAGAGACUGCCGGGGUUAACUCGGAGGAAGGUGGGGAUGACGUCAAAUCAUCAUGCCCUUUAUGCCCAGGGCUUCACACAUGCUACAAUGGUUAGUACAACGCGCGGCAAGCCUGUGAGGGUGAGCGAAUCGCUGAAAGCUAAUCUCAGUUCGGAUUGGGUCUGCAACUCGACCCC